GGUCAAGAGGUGCAAGGCCAGCAGGGAAGGUGGAGCGUCCUCUGCAUGUGACCUUUCCUAGGGUGGGCACCGAGUGGAACAGACCAAGAAGACAGUUCUCACAGGAGGUGCACGCUUCCCACUGAGGGAGGAGGAACACUGGCCAGGGCCGGAGGACAAGGUAGCCACCACCUCCAGGGAGAGCAGCCCCAAGGCCCUGUGUUGGGGAUGGGGGUGCAGGUGGAAGGAGAGGUUGAAGGAGUGGCUGACAAUGCAGAGUUUGACUGAAGACCAGGGCAUCGCUCCAGAAGGCUGGGGGAACCAGCAAUCAACCAAAGUCAAUUCCUACGUCAUAUUUUAACCCAGAACCCAGAAAAUAGGCCAUAAUUCAUUUUUCAGGCUUCUCUGAUUUUCCUUUUUCUUUUUUUACUUCUUAUGUUGUCUGAUGAGAAAAUUAGCCAAAUGAGCAGUGUAAUUAGCCCUGCAUGUUCACCUCUGUCAGGUACACUGUGAGGACUGCCAGACAGGGCUCUACCUGGGGUUCCCGGCAGCCCGCGUCUCAGAUAAGCACAAUGGCAAAGGGCCUACGUGAGAAGAAGGAACAAAUGACCAGGGCCUCUGCUCAACCCUGCUCCAUGCCUGAAUCACAGGAAGAGACUGCCAGACAAACGAGGCAGAAGAGAGCUUCAGCCUUUACCCCUCCGACCGUGAUCACACACAGACAGCUGUACUAGGCAGAGCUGGCUGCACCAGCGCCAUUGUUUGGACCAUUUGUACUUUUCCUUUUGAGAAUCAUUUAUUAUAUCCCCCGCCAGUUUUUCUUGUUGCACUAUGUGUCCUUUGUGAUCUGUAGGAGCUCUUUUGUAUGCCACGAUUUUCCAUUGUUGGCUCUUUACACGCUGCAAAGGGUUGUAUGCAGUUUCCUUCUGGGAGGUUGCUUGUAUUCUGAGUGUUUUGUGAUAUAUAGAGCUUUCCACUUUCACAAAGUCAAAUCUAUCAGUGUGACAGAGUGAGGGGCAGGCAGGGGCCCCAGGUGCUCCCAGCACUCCAUCUCUAGAUCCAGCUGCUGCUUAUGAGGGUGUGUGCACUUUGAGUGUGCCCACUUUUCUAUUUCUGUAUUACAAUAAAAAUGUAUCUUAAAUCUGUCCAUUUCUUCUUUUCUGGCUUCUGAGUUUUAUGCUUUGCUUAAAGUGUUUCCAUAUUAUGAACCUGUGAAAGCAUCUCCUAUUUUUUUUCUAAUACUUUGAAAGUUG
RNAcentral lists this long non-coding RNA (1232 nucleotides) under Chinchilla lanigera (long-tailed chinchilla). Its description in RNAcentral is "lncRNA (ENSCLAG00000028103.1)". The record is from RNAcentral. Lineage: Eukaryota; Metazoa; Chordata; Mammalia; Rodentia; Chinchillidae.